This 523-nucleotide long non-coding RNA is filed under the name Callithrix jacchus (white-tufted-ear marmoset). RNAcentral's name for it is "lncRNA (ENSCJAG00000085694.1)". Lineage: Eukaryota; Metazoa; Chordata; Mammalia; Primates; Cebidae. The record is from RNAcentral.
CCAUAAAAUCUGCAUUUGUGUAUUCUUUAGCACAGAACACUUCUGAUCUAUAGUAUACUCUUUAUGGGAACUAGAAAUAGGUGAUCUCAGAACCAGAGAGAACUCUGAUUUCGAGAUAGGGAGUUGGCAUCAGUGAGGACCCACCACUGCAAAGUAGCACAGUACAUCCUUCUAACCUCUAGGCUCAAGUCUUGAAUCAUGAAGAAUAAAAAAGAAAGAUAUGGCAGGAAAAAGAGGAUGUGAAAGAGACAGGUUGAUCAUUGUGCAAUGCAUGAUGUACGGAUCAUAUGGGCUUCUUGUUGUGCAGUGUAUAUAUUCUCCACCCAUUUCUGUAAUUUUCCCAAACCAGCUCUGUGAAGGACUUUUCAUCCAUGGCUGGUUGAAUCUGAGUCCGCAGAUGUGGAACCCAUGGAUACAGAGGGCUGACUGUAUUAUAACCCUGAAUGAUAUAAAGUGCUACCUGUCCCAGGAGAACUUGAGAACUAAUUCUGCUGUUUGCUGGGUGUCAUUCCUGCCACAGUGA